UAUUAUGGCCAAGAAAACCAGAGGGAAUAUUGAAGAGAGAACAAAGGAAGUGAAAGCAACAUGAUGCAAUGAGUUACAGUGAGAUACGAAAAUGGUGUUAAUGGGAGGAGUUGGAGUACCCUCAAUCUCAAUCUGUUGUUUGUUCCAAACAAGACCCACCAGACAUUUGUGUCUCAAAUUCAGAUUGAAACCUUCGCUUUCACAUUCAAUCACUAGCAUGGCAUUGACCAACAACAACAACACCAACACCAACGAAAGGAAGCUUCCGAUUCUGCUGUUUGAUAUCAUGGACACCCUUGUUCGUGACCCAUUCUACCAAGAUGUCCCUGCCUUCUUCGGAAUGUCUUUGAAGGAACUCAUAGAUUGCAAGCACCCCACUGCUUGGAUUGAGUUUGAAAAGGGUCUAAUUGACGAGAUGGAGCUAGCAAGAAAAUUUUUUAAGGAUGGAAGGGAUUUUGAUUUGGAAGGCCUAAAAUCUUGUAUGAGAAGUGGAUAUUCAUACAUAGAAGGCAGCGAACAGUUGCUUCUUUCCUUAAAGCAAAAUAACUAUGAGAUGCAUGCUUUUACAAAUUAUCCUAUAUGGUAAGACAGUUAUUUUUCUAUUGUGAUUUGUGUUUUUCUUUUCAUGGCAUCCUACUGAAUGUUUUGUAUUGUAGGUACCAGUUGAUUGAAGACAAGUUAAAACUAUCAAAAUAUUUAUCGUGGACAUUUUGUUCGUGGGCAUUUGGAAAGAGGAAGCCUGAUACUGAAUUCUAUAAGGAAGUCGUAAGGCAUCUUAAAGUUGACCCAACAAAUUGUAUUUUCGUAGAUGACAGGCAAAAAAAUGUGGAGGCAGCAAUUGAAGUUGGCAUCAGAGGGGUACAUUUCCAGAAUGUCAAUUCACUGUGUGAAAAACUGUCACUGAUGGGGAUUGACAUCUCAACAGAUGAAGAUAUAUAGCUUAUUUGAUUUGAUUCUGUUUCUUAACUACACCAAUUUCUUUUUAUUGGUGGAAAGGGGAUAUACCAAACUCUUAAUUUUACAUUCCAUUUAUACCAAGCUAUUGAGCUUUGUUGAAGUGAUUUCUGAUUUUUUAUCCUUAAAACAAUGCAUCUUUAUCUUCUUUGCUA
Molecule: RNA transcript, 1109 nt
Organism: Glycine soja
Lineage: Eukaryota; Viridiplantae; Streptophyta; Magnoliopsida; Fabales; Fabaceae
Gene name: flavin mononucleotide hydrolase 1, chloroplatic-like
Exons: 5
Source: RefSeq, a predicted model, not a curated record